Molecule: long non-coding RNA, 758 nt
Filed under: Cotesia glomerata
Lineage: Eukaryota; Metazoa; Arthropoda; Insecta; Hymenoptera; Braconidae
Description: uncharacterized LOC123262540, transcript variant X1
Source: RNAcentral
AUGAUCUUUAAGUGAAUAUGUGUCUGACAAUAAUGGUCCUAAAUUUAUAUAUCGUUGUUGCUUAAAGUCAAAAUAUGGUAAAAUGCUUAAAUUAUUUUGCAGGUCGCGUAAGCAAAAAGACAUUUGCGACGUGUGCGGUAGAUUUAUUGGCGAAAAAAGUCGUUAGUUAGGCUUUGUUCUUGAAACAUUCCUGUGUAACGGUACAUUUCAUUUGAUUUACCGGAGGCUGUUUCAAGGCUAUCAGUCGGAUGUUAGUAUAUGUGGAACACGUUACCGUUAAGUUUAAGACUGUGAGUGAGCGUAGUCUAUCUCCAAGGGGCAAGGAUGUGGAAGCUGAGCAAAGGUCAAAUAAGCGCAAGCGCAGAUUCUUAGAGAGUUAGAAAGAGUAGGACAGUAUGAGUAGUCAGUAUGAAAUACUACGGCGUAGAGUGUAUAACUUGAGUCGGCACUGUAGAGUGUAAAGCUGUACUUCUGAAGUAUCUCAGAUUCAGAAUUCUUCAUUCAUUAAUCUUAUCUUUGUUGCAGGUUCAAUUGAAAAUUGUGGUACAGUUUCUCCGAUUUCCAUGGAAACUACUCGGUGAAGAAAAUAUAGUGUAAUCAGUGCGAUAUGUUGUCUAGUGCCUAUGUAAAUACAUCUGCGUUUUCGGUGUUCCAUCGGUUCUAUAUGAAAAAUUGACAUGAUAAUCGGAAUGAUCGUUUUCCGAAGCCACUAUCUGUAAUAUAAAAUAAUGAGAAUAAUAAAGUUUAUUUAUCUUUUA